AGAGUUUGAUCAUGGCUCAGAACGAACGCUGGCGGCGUGGAUAAGACAUGCAAGUCGAACGCUGAUUUCAGGGUAGCAAUAUUCUGGAGUCGGAGUGGCGCAAGGGUGCGUAACACGUGGGUAAUUUGCCGUGAAGACUGGAAUAACUUGCUGAAAGGCGAGCUAAUACCGGAUGUGACGUUUGGGAGGCAUCUUCCGAAUUUCAAAGUUGGGGACCGCAAGGCCUGACGCUUCACGAUAAGCCCGCGGCCUAUCAGCUAGUUGGUAAGGUAACGGCUUACCAAGGCUAAGACGGGUAGCUGGUCUGAGAGGACGACCAGCCUCACUGGAACUGAGACACGGUCCAGACACCUACGGGUGGCAGCAGUCGAGAAUUUUUCACAAUGGGCGAAAGCCUGAUGGAGCGACGCCGCGUGGGGGAUGAAUGGCUUCGGCCCGUAAACCCCUGUCAUUUGCGAACAAACCUUGUCAUUUAAAAGAUGACGAGCUGAUUGUAGCGAAAGAGGAAGGGACGGCUAACUCUGUGCCAGCAGCCGCGGUAAUACAGAGGUCCCAAGCGUUGUUCGGAUUCACUGGGCGUAAAGGGUGCGUAGGUGGUCGGGUCAGUCUGAUGUGAAAUCUCCGAGCCUAACUCGGAAACUGCAUUGGAUACUGCUUGGCUGGAGGGUUGGAGGGGGGACUGGAAUUCUCGGUGUAGCAGUGAAAUGCGUAGAUAUCGAGAGGAACACCAGUGGCGAAGGCGAGUCCCUGGACAACUCCUGACACUGAGGCACGAAAGCUAGGGGAGCAAACAGGAUUAGAUACCCUAGUAGUCC
This 815-nucleotide ribosomal RNA is filed under the name uncultured bacterium. RNAcentral's name for it is "bacterial SSU rRNA". It matches the Rfam family "Bacterial small subunit ribosomal RNA", at positions 8 to 796 of the family's 1533-position model. The record is from RNAcentral.